Molecule: ribosomal RNA, 484 nt
Filed under: uncultured bacterium
Lineage: Bacteria
Description: bacterial SSU rRNA
Rfam family: Bacterial small subunit ribosomal RNA
Source: RNAcentral
AUUGAACGCUGGCGGCAUGCCUUACACAUGCAAGUCGAACGGCAGCACGGGAGCAAUCCUGGUGGCGAGUGGCGAACGGGUGAGUAAUAUAUCGGAACGUGCCCAGUCGUGGGGGAUAACGUAGCGAAAGCUACGCUAAUACCGCAUACGAUCUAUGGAUGAAAGCGGGGGAUCGCAAGACCUCGCGCGAUUGGAGCGGCCGAUAUCAGAUUAGGUAGUUGGUGAGGUAAAGGCUCACCAAGCCUUCGAUCUGUAGCUGGUCUGAGAGGACGACCAGCCACACUGGGACUGAGACACGGCCCAGACUCCUACGGGAGGCAGCAGUGGGGAAUUUUGGACAAUGGGCGAAAGCCUGAUCCAGCCAUGCCGCGUGCAGGAUGAAGGCCUUCGGGUUGUAAACUGCUUUUGUACGGAACGAAACGGUGAGCUCUAAUACAGUUUGCUAAUGACGGUACCGUAAGAAUAAGCACCGGCUAACUACGUG